This is a long non-coding RNA of Phacochoerus africanus (Common warthog), 699 nucleotides long. RefSeq lists it as uncharacterized. The record is from RefSeq and is a predicted model, not a curated record. NCBI's taxonomy places the organism in Eukaryota, Metazoa, Chordata, Mammalia, Artiodactyla, Suidae. The transcript has 2 exons.
AGGCUCCUUUUAAACUGGAUCUCUGCCGAUUCCUCCCUUUUCGGCUGCGGCGUGCGACUCAGCUUGGUCCAGUUUAAGAUGCUGACAAAAUUCAGGUAUGGAUUAAACAGAGAGAAUUUGGCUUGAGUUAUUUUCUUAAAUGAAUUGUUGGCCAAAGAUGAGAACUCGAAUCUGAAUGGAUAUCCUUCUGCUCUGAUGGGUUAAAGGAUUUACCUGAGGCCAUCCUAAUGGGAAUUUAGUAAAAAGUAUGUUUUAAUGGAGGGGGGGAAGCUGCUAAUAAACAGGUAAUUUAUUAUGCCAAGAAAAUGGUUUUUUGUAAAAAAUGGAUAAAUGAUUGGCAUAAUAGUCUUUCAAAAUGUAAUUGCUGUUCUAAUUAUCCACCAUGAUACUUCUUUUCCAGGGCUGGUGCUUAGAAGCAGCUUUUCAAGGAGGUAUGGUAUAUUUGAACAUGUGAAAUAUAUGGAACAGAGUUUUUUGCUUUCUCUAUCCCUUUUAUGGUGGUGGUAAUUAACUUUGAUCUCUCUGACAAAAUGGAUCAAUAGAUUGCUAAGGAUCAGGGAAAAGUUUGUUGCAUAAGUUUCAAGGGGUGUGUUCAUGAGGAACUAUUCCUACAUUUUGAUUUAAGGUUGGUUUCUGCAUUUGUCAAAUUUCAGUGUUUUACUGAAUGUAAAUUCUUCAAUAAACAUGACUUAAAACUUA